RNAcentral lists this ribosomal RNA (433 nucleotides) under uncultured bacterium. Its description in RNAcentral is "partial 16S ribosomal RNA". It matches the Rfam family "Bacterial small subunit ribosomal RNA", at positions 29 to 507 of the family's 1533-position model. The record is from RNAcentral.
AACGAACGCUGGCGGCAUGCCUAACACAUGCCAGUCGAACGAGACCUUCGGGUCUAGUGGCGCACGGGUGCGUAACGCGUGGGAACCUGCCUUUAGGUUCGGAAUAACUCAGAGAAAUUUGAGCUAAUACCGGAUGAUGUCUUCGGACCAAAGAUUUAUCGCCUUUAGAUGGGCCCGCGUUGGAUUAGCUAGUUGGUGGGGUAAAGGCCUACCAAGGCGACGAUCCAUAGCUGGUCUGAGAGGAUGAUCAGCCACACUGGGACUGAGACACGGCCCAGACUCCUACGGGAGGCAGCAGUGGGGAAUAUUGGAAAAUGGGCGAAAGCCUGAUCCAGCAAUGCCGCGUGAGUGAUGAAGGCCUUAGGGUUGUAAAGCUCUUUUACCCGAGAUGAUAAUGACAGUAUCGGGAGAAUAAGCUCCGGCUAACUCCGUG